RNAcentral lists this ribosomal RNA (488 nucleotides) under uncultured bacterium. RNAcentral describes it as "SSU rRNA". It matches the Rfam family "Bacterial small subunit ribosomal RNA", at positions 26 to 524 of the family's 1533-position model. The record is from RNAcentral.
AGGAUAAACGCUGGCGGCGUGCUUAACACAUGCAAGUCGAACGGAUUCGUGGCACUUGUGUCGCGGGUUAGUGGCGAACGGGUGAGUAACACGUGAGUAACCUGCCCCAGACUCUGGGAUAACUCCGGGAAACCGGUGCUAAUACUGGAUAUGACAUCAAGCCGCAUGGUUAUGGUGUGGAAAGUUUUUCGGUCUGGGAUGGGCUCGCGGCCUAUCAGCUUGUUGGUGAGGUAGUGGCUCACCAAGGCGACGACGGGUAGCCGGCCUGAGAGGGCGACCGGCCACACUGGGACUGAGACACGGCCCAGACUCCUACGGGAGGCAGCAGUGGGGAAUAUUGCACAAUGGGCGCAAGCCUGAUGCAGCGACGCCGCGUGAGGGAUGACGGCCUUCGGGUUGUAAACCUCUUUCAGCAGGGAGAAGCCUUUCUGGGUGACGGUACCUGCAGAAGAAGCACCGGCUAACUACGUGCCAGCAGCCGCGGUAAU